RNAcentral lists this ribosomal RNA (2922 nucleotides) under Escherichia coli. RNAcentral's name for it is "23S ribosomal RNA". It matches the Rfam family "Bacterial large subunit ribosomal RNA". The record is from RNAcentral. Lineage: Bacteria; Pseudomonadati; Pseudomonadota; Gammaproteobacteria; Enterobacterales; Enterobacteriaceae.
GGGUUGUGAGGUUAAGCGACUAAGCGUACACGGUGGAUGCCCCGCAGUCAGAGGCGAUGAAGGACGUGCUAAUCUGCGAUAAGCGUCGGUAAGGUGAUAUGAACCGUUAUAACCGGCGAUUUCCGAAUGGGGAAACCCAGUGUGUUUCGACACACUAUCAUUAACUGAAUCCAUAGGUUAAUGAGGCGAACCGGGGGAACUGAAACAUCUAAGUACCCCGAGGAAAAGAAAUCAACCGAGAUUCCCCCAGUAGCGGCGAGCGAACGGGGAGCAGCCCAGAGCCUGAAUCAGUGUGUGUGUUAGUGGAAGCGUCUGGAAAGGCGCGCGAUACAGGGUGACAGCCCCGUACACAAAAAUGCACAUAUUGUGAGCUCGAUGAGUAGGGCGGGACACGUGGUAUCCUGUCUGAAUAUGGGGGGACCAUCCUCCAAGGCUAAAUACUCCUGACUGACCGAUAGUGAACCAGUACCGUGAGGGAAAGGCGAAAAGAACCCCGGCGAGGGGAGUGAAAAAGAACCUGAAACCGUGUACGUACAAGCAGUGGGAGCACGCUUAGGCGUGUGACUGCGUACCUUUUGUAUAAUGGGUCAGCGACUUAUAUUCUGUAGCAAGGUUAACCGAAUAGGGGAGCCGAAGGGAAACCGAGUCUUAACUGGGCGUUAAGUUGCAGGGUAUAGACCCGAAACCCGGUGAUCUAGCCAUGGGCAGGUUGAAGGUUGGGUAACACUAACUGGAGGACCGAACCGACUAAUGUUGAAAAAUUAGCGGAUGACUUGUGGCUGGGGGUGAAAGGCCAAUCAAACCGGGAGAUAGCUGGUUCUCCCCGAAAGCUAUUUAGGUAGCGCCUCGUGAAUUCAUCUCCGGGGUAGAGCACUGUUUCGGCAAGGGGUCAUCCCGACUUACCAACCCGAUGCAAACUGCGAAUACCGGAGAAUGUUAUCACGGAGACACACGGCGGGUGCUAACGUCCGUCGUGAAGAGGGAAACAACCCAGACCGCCAGCUAAGGUCCCAAAGUCAUGGUUAAGUGGGAAACGAUGUGGGAAGGCCCAGACAGCCGAUGUUGGCUUAGAAGCAGCCAUCAUUUAAAGAAAGCGUAAUAGCUCACUGGUCGAGUCGGCCUGCGCGGAAGAUGUAACGGGGCUAAACCAUGCACCGAAGCUGCGGCAGCGACGCUUAUGCGUUGUUGGGUAGGGGAGCGUUCUGUAAGCCUGUGAAGGUGUGCUGUGAGGCAUGCUGGAGGUAUCAGAAGUGCGAAUGCUGACAUAAGUAACGAUAAAGCGGGUGAAAAGCCCGCUCGCCGGAAGACCAAGGGUUCCUGUCCAACGUUAAUCGGGGCAGGGUGAGUCGACCCCAAGGCGAGGCCGAAAGGCGUAGUCGAUGGGAAACAGGUUAAUAUUCCUGUACUUGGUGUUACUGCGAAGGGGGACGGAGAAGGCUAUGUUGGCCGGGCGACGGUUGUCCCGGUUUAAGCGUGUAGGCUGGUUUUCCGUGCAAAUCCGGAAAAUCAAGGCUGAGGCGUGAUGACGAGGCACUACGGUGCUGAAGCAACAAAUGCCCUGCUUCCGGAAAAGCCUCUAAGCAUCAGGUAACAUCAAAUCGUACCCCAAACCGACACAGGUGGUCAGGUAGAGAAUACCAAGGCGCUUGAGAGAACUCGGGUGAAGGAACUAGGCAAAAUGGUGCCGUAACUUCGGGAGAAGGCACGCUGAUAUGUAGGUGAAGUCCCUCGCGGAUGGAGCUGAAAUCAGUCGAAGAUACCAGCUGGCUGCAACUGUUUAUUAAAAACACAGCACUGUGCAAACACGAAAGUGGACGUAUACGGUGUGACGCCUGCCCGGUGCCGGAAGGUUAAUUGAUGGGGUUAGCCGCAAGGCGAAGCUCUUGAUCGAAGCCCCGGUAAACGGCGGCCGUAACUAUAACGGUCCUAAGGUAGCGAAAUUCCUUGUCGGGUAAGUUCCGACCUGCACGAAUGGCGUAAUGAUGGCCAGGCUGUCUCCACCCGAGACUCAGUGAAAUUGAACUCGCUGUGAAGAUGCAGUGUACCCGCGGCAAGACGGAAAGACCCCGUGAACCUUUACUAUAGCUUGACACUGAACAUUGAGCCUUGAUGUGUAGGAUAGGUGGGAGGCUUUGAAGUGUGGACGCCAGUCUGCAUGGAGCCGACCUUGAAAUACCACCCUUUAAUGUUUGAUGUUCUAACGUUGACCCGUAAUCCGGGUUGCGGACAGUGUCUGGUGGGUAGUUUGACUGGGGCGGUCUCCUCCUAAAGAGUAACGGAGGAGCACGAAGGUUGGCUAAUCUGGUCGGACAUCAGGAGGUUAGUGCAAUGGCAUAAGCCAGCUUGACUGCGAGCGUGACGGCGCGAGCAGGUGCGAAAGCAGGUCAUAGUGAUCCGGUGGUUCUGAAUGGAAGGGCCAUCGCUCAACGGAUAAAAGGUACUCCGGGGAUAACAGGCUGAUACCGCCCAAGAGUUCAUAUCGACGGCGGUGUUUGGCACCUCGAUGUCGGCUCAUCACAUCCUGGGGCUGAAGUAGGUCCCAAGGGUAUGGCUGUUCGCCAUUUAAAGUGGUACGCGAGCUGGGUUUAGAACGUCGUGAGACAGUUCGGUCCCUAUCUGCCGUGGGCGCUGGAGAACUGAGGGGGCUGCUCCUAGUACGAGAGGACCGGAGUGGACGCAUCACUGGUGUUCGGGUUGUCAUGCCAAUGGCACUGCCCGGUAGCUAAAUGCGGAAGAGAUAAGUGCUGAAAGCAUCUAAGCACGAAACUUGCCCCGAGAUGAGUUCUCCCUGACUCCUUGAGAGUCCUGAAGGAACGUUGAAGACGACGACGUUGAUAGGCCGGGUGUGUAAGCGCAGCGAUGCGUUGAGCUAACCGGUACUAAUGAACCGUGAGGCUUAACCUUACAACGCCGAAGGUGUUU